RNAcentral lists this ribosomal RNA (534 nucleotides) under uncultured bacterium. Its description in RNAcentral is "bacterial SSU rRNA". It matches the Rfam family "Bacterial small subunit ribosomal RNA", at positions 97 to 663 of the family's 1533-position model. The record is from RNAcentral.
GGCGACCGGGUGAGUAACACGUGACUAACCUACCUUUGAGUGGGGAGUAACCUCGGGAAGCCGGGGCUAAUACCGCAUAACACCGAGAGGUCAAAGGAGCAAUCCGCUUGAAGAGGGGGUCGCGGCUGAUUAGCUAGUUGGCAGGGUAAUGGCCUACCAAGGCAGUGAUCAGUAUCCGGCCUGAGAGGGCGCACGGACACACUGGAACUGAAACACGGUCCAGACUCCUACGGGAGGCAGCAGUGGGGAAUUUUGCACAAUGGGGGAAACCCUGAUGCAGCAACGCCGCGUGGAGGAUGAAGCCCCUUGGGGCGUAAACUCCUUUCGAUCGGGACGAUUAUGACGGUACCGGAAGAAGAAGCACCGGCUAACUCUGUGCCAGCAGCCGCGGUAAUACAGAGGGUGCAAGCGUUGUUCGGAAUUAUUGGGCGUAAAGGGCGCGUAGGCGGUGCGGUAAGUCAGCUGUGAAAUCUCCGGGCUCAACUCGGAGCCUGCAGUUGAAACUGCCGUGCUUGAGUAUGGGAGAGGUGAGUG